Molecule: long non-coding RNA, 508 nt
Organism: Drosophila mojavensis
Lineage: Eukaryota; Metazoa; Arthropoda; Insecta; Diptera; Drosophilidae
Exons: 2
Source: RefSeq, a predicted model, not a curated record
CAAUAAGUAUUAUGUUUCUCUUAUAUAAAACUAUAUAUAAAAUAUCAAAGUAUAAUUCUAAAAAGCAGAUAUACUUCCGCUUGGCUCAAGUAGAGGGUAUUAAAAGGUUCAAUGGCUAGUACGAAAUUCCAUGGAAUUGUUUACAUUAACUAAACCCAUUGAUAAGGUCCCAUUGCAAUGGAACUUUGGCGAUGGAACCACAACGUAAAAAAAAUAUUAUAGCCAACAUUUUCGGAAAUCUGCAAAAUUCGGUGAAAAUAUAAUAAGCAACAAAUGAAGAACUUUCCCAAUUAAAACUUAUGUGUUGUUUACAGUUUGACAAGAGUUUUCAAAACAAUACGAAACCUUGACAGUUUCGAAUGAUUCAAAUCAUCUACGUCCGAAAAGUCGCAGCUUAAAUACUCUUCUUCAAGACCUUGGGAAUUUUCAUAUAGCAAAUAUAUUUUAAAAUCAUGUAAGACAUGAAAUUGCUCUAUUAAAUUUGGCAUAUUUGACAACAAGAAUCGGA